GUAAAUAUAUAUUUAUUUCAGGUAAAAUGCACGAACACAUGCUAAUGUUCUCAUUGAUGGGAGGAGCCGGAGUUAUGGCUGCAAUACUAGAGUUUGCUAGAGUUUGCUACGUUACCUACAAAGAAGGGAAGAAAAAAGACGAAAAAGAAGACGACGUUUACGCAAUGUGAAAACGACAUAAAUUAAACUAAACUAAUUCAAGAUUUCAGGCCGAUAUAAUCAGUUCUUGUUUUUAUUAAUUCAAAAUUAAAAGUUUUGAUUCAAGAAUUCGGAGAACACAAAAUGUAUUAAAUAAACCUUCAGGAAAAUCAUUCUUUUUGUUUGAAUAUUUAUAUUCUUUUCUUCUCUCAUAAUGUUUAAAAACGACGUAAUGCAUUAAGCUUUCAACUCUCUUGGUUAACACCUCCUCUGGUUAAAAUGUAUAAUACAUACAAUGGUUGGCGUUAUAUCAAUACAAUUAACACGACUUUUAUCUUGAAUUUUUAAAUUCUACAAGGACAAGUAACUAAAAUAUGAACUGUUCCAAUUUCAUAAUUGAAUUCUAAACAUUUUCAUAAAAUUGUUCAAAUGUUUUGGGGAAUUGUUUUUAUUUAUGAUCGAAUUGUUCACCAGUUUAUUUCAUAUUUUCUGGGACUUACUUGCAUUUGUAUUAUUGAACAAAUCUCUUCCAAAAAUUAUCAAAUAUUUAAUAUCAAACGAAUUAUUAAUUUUAACAUUUUUUUACCCUUAUGAUCUAUUAUUGCUCAAUCUUGUUAAUUUUGUUCUUGAAAUAAACAUUACUUAAUUUU
This is a long non-coding RNA of Eurytemora carolleeae, 788 nucleotides long. RefSeq lists it as uncharacterized. The transcript has 2 exons. The record is from RefSeq and is a predicted model, not a curated record. Lineage: Eukaryota; Metazoa; Arthropoda; Copepoda; Calanoida; Temoridae.